UACGAGUGCCUCGAGCGUUAUCCGGAAUCAUUGGGCGUAAAGGGUGUGUAGGCGGCUUUGUUAGUCUUCUGUCAAAUUCUUCGGCUUAACCGGGGUACGCAGGGGAAACGGCAAGGCUUUGAGGAUGCGAGGGGUUUGCGGAACUCUAGGUGUAGGGGUGAAAUCCGUUGAUAUCUAGGGGAACACCAAAAGCGAAGGCAGCAAACUGGCGCAUUCCUGACGCUGAAACACGAAAGCGUGGGGAUCGAACGGG
Molecule: unclassified non-coding RNA, 253 nt
Filed under: uncultured Parcubacteria group bacterium
Lineage: Bacteria
Description: contains 16S-23S intergenic spacer region
Rfam family: Bacterial small subunit ribosomal RNA
Source: RNAcentral